Molecule: small nuclear RNA, 104 nt
Organism: Ochotona curzoniae (black-lipped pika)
Lineage: Eukaryota; Metazoa; Chordata; Mammalia; Lagomorpha; Ochotonidae
Source: RefSeq, a predicted model, not a curated record
GUGCUCACUUCGGCAGCGCAUAUACUAAAAUUGGAAUGAUACAGAGAAAAUUAGCAUGCCCCCUGUGCAAGGAACAAUAUGGGAAUAAAUUACUCCUGGUUUGU